CAGUAGCCACGGUAAUACAGAGGGUGCGAGCGUUAAUCGGAUUUACUGGGCGUAAAGCGUGCGUAGGCGGCUUCUUAAGUCGGAUGUGAAAUCCCUGAGCUUAACUUAGGAAUUGCAUUCGAUACUGGGAAGCUAGAGUAUGGGAGAGGAUGGUAGAAUUCCAGGUGUAGCGGUGAAAUGCGUAGAGAUCUGGAGGAAUACCGGUGGCGAAGGCGGCCCCCUGGACAAAGACUGACGCUCAGGUGCGAAAGCGUGGGGAGCAAACAGGAUUAGAGACCCCUGUAGUCCCUGUCUCUUAUAU
Molecule: ribosomal RNA, 301 nt
Filed under: uncultured bacterium
Lineage: Bacteria
Description: partial 16S ribosomal RNA
Rfam family: Bacterial small subunit ribosomal RNA
Source: RNAcentral